This is a non-coding RNA of Equus caballus (horse), 3704 nucleotides long. NCBI's taxonomy places the organism in Eukaryota, Metazoa, Chordata, Mammalia, Perissodactyla, Equidae. The record is from RefSeq and is a predicted model, not a curated record.
GACAGGCUGCGGGGGGCGCCGCGUGAGAACGAGGGGGCUGUCCACCGCUUCUCGCUCCCACGGUCCUGCCCGCCUGCUCCCGUUACGCUGGGGUUUCUCUCGAACUGUGUUGGGGAAGGGACGGGGGCGAGUCUCGGCUGCUCCAGCUCUGCCCCAUGGCCGGGGGCAGUUCCUGGCUGAACAACCCGAUGCUACCUGACCCUUAGUAAGCCCUUAAUGUGCGCUGCCUGUGAGGUAUGUACUCUAUCCUCGUUUUUAAAAUGAGGAAGCUAAGGCUCAGAGAGGUUAAGUCACUUGCCCCGUGUCCCACAGCUAGUAAGCGGUGGGAUUCCAACCCAAGCAGACUGGUUUCAGAGCCCACAGCAUACUGCCCUCAUGCCCAUCGGAAGAAAAUGAGCACAACCUUCUAGUCUUGAUGUGAAGACGGAAGAGAACUGUGCCUCCAAGGGGGUGUUCCGCAGUUACCCAGGGACGGACACCCACACGCUCCCAGUUACACAGACACUGACACACACACGUUAUUGUCAAAGCUCGUCCUCCCACCACCACCAUUUGGGGUUAAUGCGUCAUCAAUCCUCAACUCACACACUCAGUUCCAGCGUGAAAGGGGAGCCAGCCAGGUGGAGGGGAGCACAGAGCGAAGACGGACAGUGCAAGUUCUCUGCUUCUAGUCUUGACACAGCCUCAGUUACUCUGCUUCUCAUUUCCCUCACCUGACCCAGAACACUGGUUGUCAAGAGCACAGGCUUUUUAUAUCUGAACCUGGGUUUGCAGCUGAGUUGCACCCCUUAUUUGCUGUGUGGCCUUGGACAAGUUGGUUGACCUCUCUGAGCCGUUCAUAAAAUACCUAUCUCCAAAAGGUUGUCGGAGGAUUAACUGAGAUAAAAACGUGUAAACCACUUAGCCAAGUACAGACAACAUUUACACAAUAAUGGUAGUAAUUACUGUUCCUCUAUCACAGGCCUGAAGUGGAAACUGCUAAACACCCACUUAAAGAAUUUCUCACCAGCUGGGCCAGGGAGGGAGGAGGCGGCUCCUGGACCUUCAUCUCAGAGCUUGGGUGGUUCUCACCUUGUUCCUCGCCCAGGCCAGGCCUUCUCUGUCCCUCCCCCCUGGUUUAGCUAGUUAUGGAAGGCUGGCUGCUCUCAAGCCCCAAGAGGACAGAGGACAACAGAAGGGAUGCGCACUCAGGAAGAAAUUUCAGCAUGUCUGGGAGGAGAGGGGAGGGGCUGUGGGUUUCCAUCCUCUGGAAGGCACAGACGUGGGAGGGUCCAUCCUGCCUAGAGUCCGGGGUAACCCGGUUUGAGCAGGGCCAGAGCAGUGUGGGGGCCGUUUGCAGUCUCUGCCUCCAAGCAUGGGACCUGUAACAUUGCAGGACGUCAGCUGGGACUCAGAAGGCCAGUGUCAGCUCUGUCACUUCCUCUGCCUCUCUGGCUUUCAAAUGGAAAUAAUAGCCGUCGCCUGCCCACUCUGUUGUGAAACGCGUCGCUCUGUCUGCAGGGUCUCACAGCAGUCCGGAAAGAAUGCUGGAGGCUCCUUGUCUCUGUGGGUCAGAGGCAGAAUUCCAGAGGUCAUCUCGUUCAGCUCCCGCUGGCCCAGUCCUCAGCAGCUUUCCCAGCAGUAGCCACGGUCACUGCUCAGCAUCUAUUGAGCCAGGUGCUGUUCUAGGCUCUGGAGAUACAGCAGUGACUAAAAAAGACCAGGAUCCCACUGUCGGCUGGUACAGAUGCCCUCCCUCCUACCUCACAGGGAGAACAGAGGCCAUCAGCUGGCAAUUCCCUCCACGUCUGGCCGUCAAACCCACAAACACCUCUGUCCACACCCACCUGCCCUCUCCUCCUUCUCUUCAGGCCUAGAAGAAGGGAUGAGGGCCCCCCGUUGAGGCCAGUCCUCCUCUUUCCCUCUGCAUCCUGCCUCUUCACCUCCUUCCCGACUACAUUCCGUCAGGCAUCUCGCCUCCUAAUUCUUACACUGUUCCUUCUCCCCUGCUCUUCCGAGUGACAGAGCAAGGGAGUAGAGCAGUAAAAGCAGUCCAUCCAGGGUGCAGGCAGUAAGGACACUGUCUACAGAGUAUUGAAAAACAACGAAACUGACAAAACAUGGUCUGCUUUUUACUAGCAGCGUGCACCCGCCAUUCUAACCCACAUCAGUAAGAAAAUAUUUCUUCUCCCUGAGGCAGACCAUUCCCACCACCUCUGACUUCAUACUCCCCUGGCUCCUUCCCUCGUCCCAGAAACAGGGCUCCCCUCUACAGUAAAAAUCCUCUCUCAACCCAAUGUCCUCCACAAGGUACCAUGCCUGCUCCUCCCUUUUCAAAUCCAGCCUUCCAGAGGGUGGUUUACAUUCCCCGACUCCAGCUCCUCAGCUUCCUCCAUCCUUCAGCCCACGGCAGCUCCAUCUCCGUCACUCAGCUGAAACUGCUCCCACCAGAGCCACCAAGCAGACAUUGUCCAAUCCUCACCUUACCUGGCUGCUCACCGGCACUGCAGCCAUCCCUCCUGGGCAUCUCCAUCUCCCUUGGCUGCCAGGAAGUCACACUGUCCUUGUUCUCCUCCAACCCCUGGCCACUCCCUCGCUGUCUUUUUUAUGAGCUACGAUUCCUCUAGUUCCCAUUAAAGAUUGCUGUUCUAUGAGACUUCAUCACUGGCCCUCUCGCUUCUUAUCUCACACAGUCUCCUUGGUGCAUCCCAACCACACCUACAGCUUCAAAUAGUAUCUUCCUCUCCAUUGCUGAGCUCCAGACCCACUUUCUAGCUGCCUCCACUUAAAUGCGCCGUGGACACCAUACAUUCGAUAUGUCCAUCCGUGUGCUGUGUUCUCUGACCCAGAGAAUGACCCUCUGUCCAUUCACUCCUCCAGAAGCAUACGAGUCAAAAAGGACUCCUUUCUCCUCACAUGGUCACCAAGGGCUGUGGAUGAGGAUGAUCACAUCCAUCCUCAUCUCUCAGUGAUCUCUGCUACUGCCUUAGUUCAGACCUUGUGCUCUUUCUCCUGGACUCUUGUACCAUCUUCCUGCCUUAUCUUCUGGCCUCUAAUCCUUCCCCAGUUCUAUCUUUGUACUUGCAGCUCAAGUGAUGUUUUGAAAACACAAAUCUGGACAUGUCAGAUCCCUGUUUCAAAUCCUCCCCAUUGGUCUAAAGCAUAAAGUCUGAGCUCUUUAUCCCAACGUUCAAGGCCUUUUAUGAUUUGCCCCGUCCCUCUCCAGCCCCAUUGCCCCUAAUGCCCCAAAAUACCCUCUGCUCCAGCCACACUGGCUUGCCUAGCUCCAACCAUGCUCCAUUCUCUCCUGCCUCCAUGCUUCUGCACACACUCUCUUAACUCAGACUGCUCCCGGCUACCUGGAAGACGGGCCUUCUCACCAUCUCUCUCCACCCUUGGAAUUGAGUUCUCCCUUCUCCAGGCUUCCUCAGCUCUCUGUUGAUAUGUAUCACACCCUAUGGUAACCACCCAUUCACCUGAUACAUUUUCAUUGGGCACCUACCAUAUACCAUAUCCUGUUAUGGACACUGGGGCUGCUGAGGCUGAGCUCAAGAAGUUGCUAGUCCGGUGGUGGAAACACACAUAAGUAGACCACUGCAUACCAUGGGAUAACUGCAGAAAUAGGGGUUGUAACAGGUGCUGAAGAGCACAGAGUUGGAUCCCAACCCUACCUGGAGAGCUCAGGAAGGUUGAUGCCUCCAAGUCCCUUAGCAAAUCACAAUUUC